ACGCUCGACACCUACGUGAGGCAGCAGUAGGGAAUCUUCCACAAUGGACGCAAGUCUGAUGGAGCAACGCCGCGUGAGUGAAGAAGGUUUUCGGAUCGUAAAGCUCUGUUGUUGGUGAAGAAGGAUAGAGGUAGUAACUGGCCUUUAUUUGACGGUAAUCAACCAGAAAGUCACGGCUAACUACGUGUCAGCAGCCGCGGUAAUCUGAGCGGGCUGGCAAGGC
RNAcentral lists this ribosomal RNA (223 nucleotides) under uncultured bacterium. RNAcentral describes it as "partial 16S ribosomal RNA". It matches the Rfam family "Bacterial small subunit ribosomal RNA", at positions 328 to 539 of the family's 1533-position model. The record is from RNAcentral.